This is a small nuclear RNA of Trichosurus vulpecula (common brushtail), 102 nucleotides long. Lineage: Eukaryota; Metazoa; Chordata; Mammalia; Diprotodontia; Phalangeridae. The record is from RefSeq and is a predicted model, not a curated record.
GUUCACUUCCGCAGCACAUUUACUAAAAUUGGAAUGAAACAAAGAUUAGCAUGGGUUCUUGAGAAGGAUGACACCCAAAUUCCUGAAGCGUUCCUUAUUUUU